CGAACGCUGGCGGCGUGCUUACCACAUGCACGUCGCCCGGCAAGGCCCUGCUUGCAGGGUACUCGAGUGGCGAACGGGUGAGUAACACGUGGGUGAUCUGCCCUGCACUUCGGGAUAAGCCUGGGAAACUGGGUCUAAUACCGGAUAGGAGCCAUUUUUAGUGUGAUGGUUGGAAAGUUUUUUCGGUGUAGGAUGAGCUCGCGGCCUAUCAGCUUGUUGGUGGGGUAAUGGCCUACCAAGGCGGCGACGGGUAGCCGGCCUGAGAGGGUGGACGGCCACAUUGGGACUGAGAUACGGCCCAGACUCCUACGGGAGGCAGCAGUGGGGAAUAUUGCACAAUGGGCGCAAGCCUGAUGCAGCGACGCCGCGUGGGGGAUGACGGCCUUCGGGUUGUAAACUCCUUUCGCUAGGGACGAAGCUUUUUGUGACGGUACCUAGAUAAGAAGCACCGGCUAACUACGUG
Molecule: ribosomal RNA, 463 nt
Filed under: uncultured bacterium
Lineage: Bacteria
Description: partial 16S ribosomal RNA
Rfam family: Bacterial small subunit ribosomal RNA
Source: RNAcentral